This is a non-coding RNA of Dermacentor andersoni, 2105 nucleotides long. Lineage: Eukaryota; Metazoa; Arthropoda; Arachnida; Ixodida; Ixodidae. The record is from RefSeq and is a predicted model, not a curated record.
GGGCCUUCUUCGAUGAAAAGAGCCGCUGCUGCCCUGAGCGGAAAGCGAGCAAAGCGGUUGGUGCUAAAUAGAGAGAAAAGAAAAAGAGAAUACAAAGUGAAGAAAAAAAUGACAAAAGCGGCGGCCAGUUUUUUGCGCGAACGAAAAGAAGAGGAAGAAGAAUUAGGGGUGCCCAGGUGGGCAGACGAUGGGCGGCCUCCGCGCCACCGUCGUGAGAACGUGCGCGGCAGCAGCAGCAGAAGAGCGCGAUGACGUGCGCCACUCUGCAGAAGCGGACGAACCGAAAUGGUGCUAAGAUGGCGGCCGCUUGUGCAGAAGGUUGGCUCUGAAGGAGACUGCCCUAUUCAGGACGCCGCCGCCACGGCUUUCGCGCGUCUUCUCUUUCACGUUGCUGCAUUGCUUGUCUGGCUGAUUACGCUACGGCCGAGCUUGCUGUUUAUUCGUUCCUUAUUCGGUGCUCACCCGCUAUCGUCGCCACCCUCCGACGCCACCGCCGUUUUCCAACACCACUACCAGUUUGCUGGGCAUUCGCCUUUUUUUUUUUCUCUCUCCCGCGUUUCUCUUCGCUCCGCAGCGAACGCGCUCUCUUCUUUUGCGUAUACUAUACACACGCGCAAACACACACACAGACACGCUGCCCAACGCACGCACACGCAGACACGCAACACGUUUUUAGUCCUAUACUUCUUUCCCACUUCUUAGACGCGUCUGUGCCUCCUCUCCGCCGUUCGUGAAUCAAAACGUGACACGCCAUCGCGCCCGCAUUCCGAGACCGGAAAGGCCGCCGUCACCGCCGCCGCGGAGGCUCGUUCCCCACGUGACCACGUACGCGCCAUGACGUAAAGCAUGUGACAAACCCCACGUGACCUUGACGCACGUGAUCCUCUUCGCGCUCUCCACAGCUCUCUCCUCCUCUCCGUUUACGCACUUGCCGAGCGUUAUAAAAACGAGCGAACCUCCACAGCUCGGUCGAAUUACGCUUCUCUGCGUGCAAGUGUCUCAUCCUCCGAUCGAGAUCGCUCUUCUCUUGGGACUUUCGGACCCCGCCCCAUCAACAGCGAACAUGUCCAGCUCCGGAGACGUCUGCUGCGAAGGCAAGCCCGAGUGCUGCAACGAGACCAGCGAGGUGAAGAACGACGCCGAGGCCAAGGCUGAGGCAGCCGCCACCGAGGUGCCCGAGGCGGCGCCGGCUCCGGCCGGCGGCGAGAGCGCCGCACCGGCCGACGCUGUGCCGCAGGACGGCGCCAGCUCGUAGCCGCCGGGGAACAACCACCGGCGGCGCUGCCUGCCUCUGCCGCCACCGCUUCUUCGCAAUUCUCGUCGCUGCUGCCCGCCGACGACAACCGCCUCGUCGACGACCGAUCACCGAGACCGCCGGAGGUUCCGUCGUCUGGUCUUUUCUGGUCAUCUGAAGCUUUCCGCCUCGCCGUACCGGAAGUACUGGACCGGACUCUGGCAGGUCGACCGAGAUUCUUCACCAUCGCCCCCCUAAUCAAGGAAGAUGCGAGACGGAAGCCCGGGAGGCUGCGAUUCUGCCUGCGAAGGCGCCAUCCUCCUGCUUCCUUCACGUCUUCCAGUGAAUCGAGCCACGAACCGAAAUGAGCGAGUCCUCACACCAUGAUCAAUUCGCCCGCAUGGAACGUUUUUCCUUUGCAUGCCGAAAUCGACACUCUUGAGGACAGCGAGCGGUCAGCGACCAACUUGCAUAGGCCGCAGUCGACCAAGACCAUCCAUGGAUUCGCCUGGCCACUCGUCGUCGUGGUUUUACUCCAGUUGUCACCGGAAAGGUUGGCUCGGUAGGAGAAGAGGUGGACAACCACCAAACUAAAAGCAGCAGGCGGGAGCUGCGGAGCGGCGCAAACGCGAGUCAGAGUUGGAAGAUUCCUAAGAGAUAAAAAAAAAAGUGAAACGAAAACGCGCGGAGCGCCGACUUAUCCUAUAUGCUAUAUAUUUAUGUAAUGAAACCACUCAGCUCGUGUAUACACCCGCUGGCAACAAAAAACGACAAAAAAAUUAUAAAAAGAGAGAGAAAAGAGAAGAUAGAAGCGGUGCGCCCUCUUCUUUUUUGUACAUUUCUGAGAAUAAAAGAAUAAUAAACCACAAAA